AACCCAGAGGAUUAAAGUGUUGGUACUCUAUCACAGUCAAAUGCUUCUGUUAUGGUAUAUUUUACUAAAUUAAAGAAAUUAUGGGAUGAGUUAGCUUGUCUCAAACCACUGCUAGUGUGUAAAUGUGGAGCAUCUAAGAAAAUGGAUGAUAUUAACAGUGAAGAUAAGCUUAUUAAUUUCUAAUGGGGUUAAAUGAAACAUAUGACAAUGUUAGAAACCAGAUUCUUUUAAUGAACCCCUUGCCUAGUGUUAACAGGGCAUACUCAAUGGUGUUGCGGGUGGAGAAACAAAAGGAAAUCCAUGAUGAUGUUGUUGAUGAGCUCAAGUCUACCAUGACUGUCAAAGGGCAAUACCAGAAAGAUAAACUUUAGAAUAAGAAAAAGGGUCAUGGCAAGAAGGAAGGGAAAUUUUGUGAUCACUACAAUGCUAUUGGCCAUACCGGAGAUUCAUGCUUUAAACCCCAUGGUUAACUCAAAUAAAAGAAAGGCAAAGGCAAGGUACCACUGGCAGCUAAUGUGUUUGAGAAAGUACCUAAAGGAGAUGGCAAAGCAGAUUAUAAGAGUUAACCAGCUGGAAUUGACUAGGCCAACAUGAUACAGUAGGAGAUUGCAAAGUUCAUGCAAACCAGAAUCCUACAAUGAAUGAGGCAACCUGUGUCAACUUCACUGGUUUUGCAGGUGAGGAUUCAAUUGACUACUCCUUUAGCAGACAUGGUAAGAACAAUGGUUUGCGGAUUGUAGAUUCUGGUGCUUCAUUUCACAUGUGCUAUGAUUACUUUUUCAGAAUACUACCAAAUUAAACCACCACAGCUUAGUUGUAUUACCAAAUGGGACUGUUAAACUUGUUUCUUACAAAGGUGACAUCAAGAUUACACCCAAUUUGCUGCUUCAUAACACACUAUUCAUACCCAAUUUUAAACAUAACCUAAUAUCAUUAAGUGAACUCACCAAAACUUCCAAUGUUUUUGUCACCUUUUAUUCUGACCAUUGCUUUUUGCAGGACCAAGUGACUAAGGAAGUGGUGGCAAGAGGUAAACUGCUGGGGGGACUAUACAUUAUGAGCAAUCGGUCUUUUAAAAAUAAGUGUAGUCAUGAAGUUUUUGAUGAUGUACCUGCUUCAAAAUCCUAUUGUACUGCAUAUAAAAUGAAUGAAGUUAAUCUUUCUCCAGAUUCUUAUGAUGUAUGGCAUUACAAGCUUGGACAUAUCUCAAACACCAAAUUACCUCAUAUCCCUGUAAUAAAACCAAAGGAAAAAGGUCAUGAAGUUUGUGAGGUGUUUGGGUGAAGCCCAAGAGUAUUAGAAGUGCAAAGGAAAGUUUGGAGAGGUCAAAAGACUCAAAAUUUCUACUGAUACAAAGUACACGGGCCGUGUAAAUAAAGCCACAGACCUGUGUAACCUUCUGUUAGACGAAAGCCAGAGAGCCAAUGGAGAAACACAAGUACACGG
This 1446-nucleotide unclassified non-coding RNA is filed under the name Hevea brasiliensis (rubber tree). Lineage: Eukaryota; Viridiplantae; Streptophyta; Magnoliopsida; Malpighiales; Euphorbiaceae. The record is from RNAcentral.